Molecule: ribosomal RNA, 912 nt
Filed under: uncultured Vibrio sp.
Lineage: Bacteria; Pseudomonadati; Pseudomonadota; Gammaproteobacteria; Vibrionales; Vibrionaceae
Description: bacterial SSU rRNA
Rfam family: Bacterial small subunit ribosomal RNA
Source: RNAcentral
AGUCGAGCGGAACGAGUUCACUGAACCUUCGGGGAACGUGAACGGCGUCGAGCGGCGGACGGGUGAGUAGUGCCUGGGAAAUUGCCCUGAUGUGGGGGAUAACCAUUGGAAACGAUGGCUAAUACCACAUAAUAGCUUCGGCUCAAAGAGGGGGACCUUCGGGCCUCUCGCGUCAGGAUAUGCCCAGGUGGGAUUAGCUAGUUGGUGAGGUAAGGGCUCACCAAGGCAACGAUCCCUAGCUGGUCUGAGAGGAUGAUCAGCCACACUGGAACUGAGACACGGUCCAGACUCCUACGGGAGGCAGCAGUGGGGAAUAUUGCACAAUGGGCGCAAGCCUGAUGCAGCCAUGCCGCGUGUAUGAAGAAGGCCUUCGGGUUGUAAAGUACUUUCAGUCGUGAGGAAGGCGUUGUAGUUAAUAGCUGCAUCGUUUGACGUUAGCGACAGAAGAAGCACCGGCUAACUCCGUGCCAGCAGCCGCGGUAAUACGGAGGGUGCGAGCGUUAAUCGGAAUUACUGGGCGUAAAGCGCAUGCAGGUGGUUUGUUAAGUCAGAUGUGAAAGCCCGGGGCUCAACCUCGGAAUUGCAUUUGAAACUGGCAGACUAGAGUACUGUAGAGGGGGGUAGAAUUUCAGGUGUAGCGGUGAAAUGCGUAGAGAUCUGAAGGAAUACCGGUGGCGAAGGCGGCCCCCUGGAUAGAUACUGACACUCAGAUGCGAAAGCGUGGGGAGCAAACAGGAUUAGAUACCCUGGUAGUCCACGCCGUAAACGAUGUCUACUUGGAGGUUGUGGCCUUGAGCCGUGGCUUUCGGAGCUAACGCGUUAAGUAGACCGCCUGGGGAGUACGGUCGCAAGAUUAAAACUCAAAUGAAUUGACGGGGGCCCGCACAAGCGGUGGAGCAUGUGGUUUAAUUC